This 209-nucleotide microRNA precursor is filed under the name Xyrichtys novacula (pearly razorfish). The record is from RNAcentral. Lineage: Eukaryota; Metazoa; Chordata; Actinopteri; Labriformes; Labridae.
AUAGAUGUGCUGUGUUGUUGCUGUAUGGUAAUUCCUCUGUGGAUUGGUCCUCUGCUUUGUGCUACAGUCAAAUCUCCCAACAAUAUAUACAUAUACACAAACCAAUUUACAUAGUUCGGGAAUAUAUUGUUGAGAGAUUUAACUGUAGGACAAAUCAGUGGACCAAUCCACAGAGGAAUUACCAUACAGCAACAACACAGCACAUCCAU